Molecule: ribosomal RNA, 371 nt
Filed under: uncultured organism
Description: bacterial SSU rRNA
Rfam family: Bacterial small subunit ribosomal RNA
Source: RNAcentral
CGUAGGGUGCGAGCGUUAAUCGGAAUUACUGGGCGUAAAGCGUGCGCAGGCGGUUUGUUAAGAUAGGCGUGAAAUCCCCGGGCUCAACCUGGGAACUGCGCUUAUGACUGGCAAGCUAGAGUACGGCAGAGGGGGUGGAAUUCCACGUGUAGCAGUGAAAUGCGUAGAGAUGUGGAGGAACACCAAUGGCGAAGGCAGCCCCCUGGGUCGAUACUGACGCUCAUGCACGAAAGCGUGGGUAGCAAACAGGAUUAGAUACCCUGGUGGUCCACGCCCUAAACGAUGUCAACUAGGUGUUGGGAGGGUAAAACCUUUUAGUACCGGAGCUAACGCGUGAAGUUGACCGCCUGGGGAGUACGGCCGCAAGGUUA